This 253-nucleotide ribosomal RNA is filed under the name uncultured bacterium. Its description in RNAcentral is "partial 16S ribosomal RNA". It matches the Rfam family "Bacterial small subunit ribosomal RNA", at positions 524 to 776 of the family's 1533-position model. The record is from RNAcentral.
UACGAAGGGGACUAGCGUUGUUCGGAAUUACUGGGCGUAAAGCGCACGUAGGCGGACUUGUAAGUCAGGGGUGAAAUCCCGGGGCUCAACCUCGGAACUGCCUUUGAUACUGCAAAUCUCGAGUCCGGUAGAGGUGGGUGGAAUUCCUAGUGUAGAGGUGAAAUUCGUAGAUAUUAGGAAGAACACCGGUGGCGAAGGCGGCCCACUGGAUCGGUACUGACGCUGAGGUGCGAAAGCGUGGGGAGCAAACAGG